UUGGUUUGGGGGGUUGCUUUCCAGGACUUGGUUUGUGGGAGGGGUUGCUUUCCAGGACUUGGUUUGUGGGAGGGGUUGCUUUCCAGGACUUGGUUUGGGGGGUUGCUUUCCAGGACUUGGUUUGGGGGGGUUGCUUUCCAGGACUUGGUUUGUGGGGGGGUUGCUUUCCAGGACUUGGUUUGUGGGAGGGGUUGCUUUCCAGGACUUGGUUUGUGGGAGGGGUUGCUUUCCAGGACUUGGUUGUGGGAGGGGUUGCUUUCCAGGACUUGGUUGUGGGAGGGGUUGCUUUCCAGGACUUGGUUGUGGGAGGGGUUGCUUUCCAGGACUUGGUUGUGGGAGGGGUUGCUUUCCAGGACUUGGUUGUGGGAGGGGGGGGUUGCUUUCCAGGACUUGGUUGUGGGAGGGGUUGCUUUCCAGGACUUGGUUGUGGGAGGGGGGGCUUUCCAGGACUUGGUUUGUGGGAGGGGUUGCUUUCCAGGACUUGGUUUGGGGG
This is a long non-coding RNA of Oncorhynchus tshawytscha (Chinook salmon), 493 nucleotides long. NCBI's taxonomy places the organism in Eukaryota, Metazoa, Chordata, Actinopteri, Salmoniformes, Salmonidae. The record is from Ensembl.